RNAcentral lists this long non-coding RNA (1005 nucleotides) under Cercocebus atys (sooty mangabey). Its description in RNAcentral is "lncRNA (ENSCATG00000045594.1)". Lineage: Eukaryota; Metazoa; Chordata; Mammalia; Primates; Cercopithecidae. The record is from RNAcentral.
AUGUGGCCAUGGGGCCACAGGACAUCACUGCGGACGGAGGUUCUUAUGCAGAUUAAUGAGGAUGGAGACCGUUGCAGAACUAUAAGCUCCCCAGGGGCUGACAGAAGCCUGGGAACACCCGAGACACCAGAGUCGCUGCUGCCCUGGGUGGAAGGAAACCUGCCCUGGAAGAUGGGAAACGCAAUACGGAGAAAGUACCAAGGGAAUAACCACAGGCGCAUCCACAGGGACCAUUUCCAGCUGAUUUAUGGAACGCUGUUCUACCUGGUUAAUUUUGAACGUUAUCUCAGUCUGAGAGGCAGUGGCUCCCUACCUGUGAGUAGUCAGAAAGGUUCACGCAGUUUUCCAGGGCGGCCUUUGCAUUUACUGGAACUAUUACGAGCUCGUUCCUGCUUCGGCGGCCAUUGACACGCAGUUCGUGUGAGGCCGUGCGUGGCUUAGCGUCUUCUGCAGGCUUAGAAGUCACUUUCUGUUCUUCCCCAAGCCUGCUCCGCUGUGCCGAGUAUUUACUGCGGGCGACGGUCACGCUGUCUGGCACAGGCCACCAAGGCCACAGGGCAGGCUCCACCUAGCGGAGCCUGCAGAAUGGCAGAGUUCGGCCUCCUUGCCGCCCUUCACGGGGAGCAGAAAGCGCAAGCCUGUGAUCAGAGCUGUGCUAGCCCAGAAAGCCUCCGAACAGGUUGAAUUGAGGAAUCGGCUCCUAUCAACUGCCCAUGUUUAGGAUGUGUCUGAGUUUUUGUGAUUUUUCCUGCACUGAAGCUACUGGGCUGGCUCUGAGUCACCGUCAUGGGACUUCACUUGCCCCGACGGGAAGCGGCGGGGGAGGAGGGCUGCACAGAGGCUUGCGGCCGUGAUAAUGAAGGGCUUGUUGCCUCUUGGGACAGCGAGUUCAAACUCUUUGUAAUUGUCAGCAUAAAGAGUGACCCGCUGAGGACACGGCUGUAAUUCAGGGUGGCAUGGUUGAUUGUCAUAGUUGAUAUCAGGUAUCUGCCUCUAAAAUGACGG